GAACGCUGGCGGCGUGCUUAACACAUGCAAGUCGAACGAUGAAGCCCAGCUUGCUGGGUGGAUUAGUGGCGAACGGGUGAGUAACACGUGAGCAACCUGCCCCUGACUCUGGGAUAAGCGCUGGAAACGGCGUCUAAUACUGGAUAUGUCCCGUCACCGCAUGGUGUGCGGGUGGAAAGAUUUUUCGGUUGGGGAUGGGCUCGCGGCCUAUCAGCUUGUUGGUGAGGUAAUGGCUCACCAAGGCGUCGACGGGUAGCCGGCCUGAGAGGGUGACCGGCCACACUGGGACUGAGACACGGCCCAGACUCCUACGGGAGGCAGCAGUGGGGAAUAUUGCACAAUGGGCGGAAGCCUGAUGCAGCAACGCCGCGUGAGGGAUGACGGCCUUCGGGUUGUAAACCUCUUUUAGCAGGGAAGAAGCGAAAGUGACGGUACCUGCAGAAAAAGCACCGGCUAACUACGUGCCAGCAGCCGCGGUAAUACGUAGGGUGCAAGCGUUAUCCGGAAUUAUUGGGCGUAAAGAGCUCGUAGGCGGUCUGUCGCGUCUGCUGUGAAAUUCCGAGGCUCAACCUCGGGCUUGCAGUGGGUACGGGCAGACUAGAGUGCGGUAGGGGAGAUUGGAAUUCCUGGUGUAGCGGUGGAAUGCGCAGAUAUCAGGAGGAACACCGAUGGCGAA
RNAcentral lists this ribosomal RNA (676 nucleotides) under Microbacterium sp. enrichment culture clone WW1_3-78. RNAcentral's name for it is "bacterial SSU rRNA". It matches the Rfam family "Bacterial small subunit ribosomal RNA", at positions 31 to 719 of the family's 1533-position model. Lineage: Bacteria; Bacillati; Actinomycetota; Actinomycetes; Micrococcales; Microbacteriaceae. The record is from RNAcentral.